Xiphophorus maculatus (southern platyfish) is the source of this 343-nucleotide long non-coding RNA. RefSeq lists it as uncharacterized. The transcript has 3 exons. NCBI's taxonomy places the organism in Eukaryota, Metazoa, Chordata, Actinopteri, Cyprinodontiformes, Poeciliidae. The record is from RefSeq and is a predicted model, not a curated record.
UUAAAUACAGUGAUUGGAUCCAUGGACCGGUCGCUCUUCAUGGAUAAACAGCUGGAUGAGGGCACAGCUGCUGUCUGCUGCUGGAUCCUGAAACACGUUCAUGUCCAGAGACAGACUGAAUGAAGUGGACACUCACACUUUAUGUUGAAACCUGCUACAAACAGACGGACAGCGGUACAACCGUACAUCUUUGACCCUGAGUCAGAACCAGAACCAGAAAAAGUGGAACCUCCUGCACGACUAUCAAGCAUGCAGCAGUGGUUUCUGAAUGGCUGGUCUCCAGUUUUGAAGCCAGUUAUUGGAUCCAUGGACCGGUCAGUCUUUAGCGACACGCAGCUGGCAG